Molecule: long non-coding RNA, 300 nt
Filed under: Rhinopithecus bieti (black snub-nosed monkey)
Lineage: Eukaryota; Metazoa; Chordata; Mammalia; Primates; Cercopithecidae
Description: lncRNA (ENSRBIG00000046396.1)
Source: RNAcentral
CCCCAAAGCAUAUGGUACUGUGGAUGCCUGCCAGGGAGUUCUGUGAACUGAAGUGAGGCAUGAAUGAACAUCACCAGCCAACAUGUUAGAUGUAACAGCACCAGAACCAGAACACAGGCAAUGUGAAGGAGAUUGCAGCAGGAGCAAAGAAAGGAAGGGAGAGAAGAAGAUGGAAUCUUACUGGAGAAUCACAAACGACAAAUAGGCACACUCUCUUUGAACUUGGCUUCAGGAGUAUGUCCAUCAAUCCAAGCAAUCCAGGCUGCCAGAGACUGCAGAAUCCAUCAACCUAGGACCCAA